Molecule: ribosomal RNA, 458 nt
Filed under: uncultured Rhodoferax sp.
Lineage: Bacteria; Pseudomonadati; Pseudomonadota; Betaproteobacteria; Burkholderiales; Comamonadaceae
Description: bacterial SSU rRNA
Rfam family: Bacterial small subunit ribosomal RNA
Source: RNAcentral
GCACAAGCGGUGGAUGAUGUGGUUUAAUUCGAUGCAACGCGAAAACCUUACCCACCCUUGACAUGUACGGAAGCCUUUAGAGAUAGAGGCGUGCUCGAAAGAGAGCCGUAACACAGGUGCUGCAUGGCUGUCGUCAGCUCGUGUCGUGAGAUGUUGGGUUAAGUCCCGCAACGAGCGCAACCCUUGUCAUUAGUUGCUACAUUCAGUUGGGCACCCUAAUGAGACUGCCGGUGACAAGCCGGAGGAAGGUGGGGAUGACGUCAAGUCCUCAUGGCCCUUAUAGGUGGGGCUACACACGUCAUACAAUGGCCGGUACAAGGGGUUGCCAACCCGCGAGGGGGAGCUAAUCCCAUAAAGCCAGUCGUAGUCCGGAUCGUAGUCUGCAACUCGACUACGUGAAGUCGGAAUCGCUAGUAAUCGUGGAUCAGAAUGUCACGGUGAAUACGUUCCCGGGUCUU